AAUAAGUGCAGUCGUAGAUAUUCGUGCUCAACGUUUGACCGUCCGUCUUAUUUGAAAAAUUUGAAAAUAUUUAGUCACACAUAAAGUAUUAUUUAUGUUUUAUCAUCUAAUAGCAAUAAAAAUACUAAUUAUAAAAAAAAUUAAAUAAGACGAACGGUUAAACGUUGAAUGUGAAUAGUGCAAAACUGUACUUAUU
RNAcentral lists this microRNA precursor (196 nucleotides) under Oryza nivara. RNAcentral describes it as "MIR812 microRNA precursor family". It matches the Rfam family "MIR812 microRNA precursor family". The record is from Rfam by way of RNAcentral. Lineage: Eukaryota; Viridiplantae; Streptophyta; Magnoliopsida; Poales; Poaceae.